AUAUUACUUCAGCAAUACAUAUACUAAAAUUGGUACAAUACAGAGAAGAUUAGCGUGGCCCCUGCACAAGGAUGACACUGAAAUUUCUUGAAGUGUUGCAUAUUUUU
Molecule: non-coding RNA, 107 nt
Organism: Octopus bimaculoides (California two-spot octopus)
Lineage: Eukaryota; Metazoa; Mollusca; Cephalopoda; Octopoda; Octopodidae
Source: Rfam